Molecule: long non-coding RNA, 859 nt
Organism: Zophobas morio
Lineage: Eukaryota; Metazoa; Arthropoda; Insecta; Coleoptera; Tenebrionidae
Exons: 3
Source: RefSeq, a predicted model, not a curated record
GCAAUAUUACCCGUCGUUGAUUCUCAAGCUCCUGGUCCUGGUAAUUCUGGCACAGAAACAGGAAUUGCGUCAGCCUCAACAGUUACAGACUUACGAAAUAGUGACUGUGGUCAAAACUCUUCGUUCUUGUCUGUUGCACAAGAAAUUCACGACUUUAAUUUGAGUGCUAUCUUAGAGGGAGAUGUUAUUGGGCGAGCAAUUUUAACAAAACACAACACGAACGUCCCAGUAACUAACAGAAAUCGAAACAGCUUAUGUGAAAUAGUAAUUUCUUAUUUUUUGAAUAAAUCUGUUAAACUGAAUAACGAUUUUUUGUCGCGCAUUGCGGAUGAAAUUACAAAGAUCAUCCCUACUGAAAAAAAACUACUUAUUUCGUAAGCCCCAUCAAAAAAAUUUGUUCCAGAUUUAAUAAACCCGAAGUAGCAAGAGGAAAACUUGUGGACAAACACAGGAAUAAACUGAGAGCUUUAAGAAGAACAAUAGAAUUCCCACCUGUGCCAAGUAAUUAUAAUACUGAACCUACUUCUAAUGAACCGUCACAGAGUGCUAAAGACAGUCAAAUUUGGCUUUUGCAUAAUCGUGAAACUGUAGAAGAUGUGUUACAACAUCGGAAAAAUGCUUAUGAAAUAAGAAAAUUUUGUAAUAACAAGAACGCGACAAUAGAAUCUUUUCUUAAUGAAUGGCCGAUUUUGAAUGAGCAGAUAGCUAUAGAACUGGUCUCAUACGACUUCAAACAGAUGUUCCAACUUGAAUUAACCGCAAUUGAUUUAGAAAAUGCUUUUGAAAAAUUCUUUGAUUCUGUAAUUCAUAAAAGAAGGAGUAGUUUAAAUGCAACUGAUGAAACGUUUAUACAGUUACU